GUGUCAGCAGCCGCGGUAAUACGAAUGGGGCAAGCGUUGUUCGGAUUUACUGGGCGUAAAGCGGGCGUAGGCGGCCGGCUAAGUCGGAUGUGAAAUCCCGGGGCUCAACUCCGGAACUGCAUUCGAUACUGGUCGGCUAGAGUUCGAGAGGGGGAUGCGGAAUUCCGCGUGUAGCAGUGAAAUGCGUAGAUAUGCGGAGGAACACCUGAGGCGAAGGCGGCAUCCUGGAUCGACACUGACGCUGAGGCCCGAAAGCGUGGGGAGCAAACAGGAUUAGAUACCCGGGUAGUCCUGGCCGUAAACGAUGGAUGCUAGAGGUGGGCGGGGAGACCCGUCCGUGUCGCAAGCUAACGCGUUAAGCAUCCCGCCUGGGGAGUACGGCCGCAAGGUUGAAACUCAAAUGAAUUGACGGGG
RNAcentral lists this ribosomal RNA (414 nucleotides) under uncultured prokaryote. RNAcentral describes it as "bacterial SSU rRNA". It matches the Rfam family "Bacterial small subunit ribosomal RNA", at positions 505 to 918 of the family's 1533-position model. The record is from RNAcentral.